GGCAUAGGAGGCCACUUCCUGGGGUGCACACAGGAUGUUUAUAAACACAUUGAAUACACGUGGUUUUGAGGGUAUUCCUGUUUGCGGAUGGAGAAAAUCAGAAAAUGCCGUGAACUAUUUCUUUCGGGGCAUAGGAGGCCACUUCCUGGGGUGCACACAGGAUGUUUAUAAACACAUUGAAUACACGUGGUUUUGAGGGUAUUCCUGUUUGCGGAUGGAGAAAAUCAGAAAAUGCCGUGAACUAUUUCUUUCGGGGCAUAGGAGGCCACUUCCUGGGGUGCACACAGGAUGUUUAUAAACACAUUGAAUACACGUGGUUUUGAGGGUAUUCCUGUUUGCGGAUGGAGAAAAUCAGAAAAUGCCGUGAACUAUUUCUUUCGGGGCAUAGGAGGCCACUUCCUGGGGUGCACACAGGAUGUUUAUAAACACAUUGAAUACACGUGGUUUUGAGGGUAUUCCUGUUUGCGGAUGGAGAAAAUCAGAAAAUGCCGUGAACUAUUUCUUUCGGGGCAUAGGAGGCCACUUCCUGGGGUGCACACAGGAUGUUUAUAAACACAUUGAAUACACGUGGUUUUGAGGGUAUUCCUGUUUGCGGAUGGAGAAAAUCAGAAAAUGCCGUGAACUAUUUCUUUCGGGGCAUAGGAGGCCACUUCCUGGGGUGCACACAGGAUGUUUAUAAACACAUUGAAUACACGUGGUUUUGAGGGUAUUCCUGUUUGCGGAUGGAGAAAAUCAGAAAAUGCCGUGAACUAUUUCUUUCGGGGCAUAGGAGGCCACUUCCUGGGGUGCACACAGGAUGUUUAUAAACACAUUGAAUACACGUGGUUUUGAGGGUAUUCCUGUUUGCGGAUGGAGAAAAUCAGAAAAUGCCGUGAACUAUUUCUUUCGGGGCAUAGGAGGCCACUUCCUGGGGUGCACACAGGAUGUUUAUAAACACAUUGAAUACACGUGGUUUUGAGGGUAUUCCUGUUUGCGGAUGGAGAAAAUCAGAAA
Long non-coding RNA from Saccostrea echinata, 993 nucleotides. RefSeq lists it as uncharacterized. The record is from RefSeq and is a predicted model, not a curated record. The transcript has 8 exons. Lineage: Eukaryota; Metazoa; Mollusca; Bivalvia; Ostreida; Ostreidae.